Molecule: ribosomal RNA, 495 nt
Filed under: uncultured bacterium
Lineage: Bacteria
Description: partial 16S ribosomal RNA
Rfam family: Bacterial small subunit ribosomal RNA
Source: RNAcentral
CGAACGCUGGCGGCGUGCCUAAUACAUGCAAGUUGAGCGAUGAAGAUUGGUGCUUGCACCAAUUUGAAGAGCAGCGAACGGGUGAGUAACGCGUGGGGAAUCUGCCUUUGAGCGGGGGACAACAUUUGGAAACGAAUGCUAAUACCGCAUAACAACUUUAAACAUAAGUUUUAAGUUUGAAAGAUGCAAUUGCAUCACUCAAAGAUGAUCCCGCGUUGUAUUAGCUAGUUGGUGAGGUAAAGGCUCACCAAGGCGAUGAUACAUAGCCGACCGGAGAGGGGGAUCGGCCACAGUGGGACUGAGACCCGGCCCAAACUCCUACGGGAGGCAGCAGUAGGGAAUCUUCGGCAAUGGACGAAAGUCUGACCGAGCAACGCCGCGUGAGUGAAGAAGGUUUUCGGAUCGGAAAACUCUGUUGGUAGAGAAGAACGUUGGUGAGAGUGGAAAGCUCAUCAAGUGACGGUAACUACCCAGAAAGGGACGGCUAACUACGUG